This 181-nucleotide small RNA is filed under the name Escherichia coli O111:H- str. 11128. RNAcentral describes it as "transcribed RNA". The stretch from base 1 to 148 matches the Rfam family "Glm Y RNA activator of glmS mRNA". From Rfam's summary of the family: This family consists of a number of bacterial RNA genes of around 167 bases in length. The function of this RNA is unknown. The record is from RNAcentral. Lineage: Bacteria; Pseudomonadati; Pseudomonadota; Gammaproteobacteria; Enterobacterales; Enterobacteriaceae.
AGUGGCUCAUUCACCGACUUAUGUCAGCCCCUUCGGGACGUGCUACAUAAAAUUCGAAUGACGCACAACAAGGUGCCUGCCGUCCAACUUCUGAUAUCAGCGUAGCUAUAUCAACCAUCGGGCGAAACGUCGAGUUAGGCACCGCCUUAUUCCAUAACAACGCCGGGUAAUUCCCGGCUUU